RNAcentral lists this ribosomal RNA (352 nucleotides) under uncultured bacterium. RNAcentral's name for it is "partial 16S ribosomal RNA". It matches the Rfam family "Bacterial small subunit ribosomal RNA", at positions 338 to 682 of the family's 1533-position model. The record is from RNAcentral.
CCUACGGGAGGCAGCAGUGGGGAAUAUUGCGCAAUGGGCGAAAGCCUGACGCAGCGACGCCGCGUGAGGGAUGAAGGUCUUCGGAUCGUAAACCUCUGUCAGCAGGGAAGAACGGUCACUGUGCUAAGCAGCAGUGAAUUGACGGUACCUGCAAAGGAAGCACCGGCUAACUCCGUGCCAGCAGCCGCGGUAAUACGGAGGGUGCGAGCGUUAAUCGGCAUUACUGGGCGUAAAGCGCUCGUAGGCGGUAUGUCAAGUCAAGGGUGAAAUCCCCGCGCUCAACGUGGGAACUGCCUUUGAAACUUUCACACUGUCGUGUGUGAGUGGAUAGUGGACUUCCAGGUGUAGGCGU